GCGGUUUGUCGCGUCUGCUGUGAAAGCCCGGGGUUUAACCCCGGGUGUGCAGUGGGUACGGGCAACUAGAGUGCAGUAGGGAGACUGGAAUCCUGGUGUAGCGGUGAAAUGCGCAGAUAUCAGGAGGAACACCGAUGGCGAAGGCAGGUCUCUGGGCUGUUACUGACGCUGAGGAGCGAAAGCAUGGGGAGCGAACAGGAUUAGAUACCCUGGUAGUCCAUGCCGUAAACGUUGGGCACUAGGUGUGGGGGACAUUCCACGUUUUCCGCGCCGUAGCUAACGCAUUAAGUGCCCCGCCUGGGGAGUACGGCCGCAAGGCUAAAACUCAAAGGAAUUGACGGGGGCCCGCACAAGCGGCGGAGCAUGCGGAUUAAUUCGAUGCAACGCGAAGAACCUUACCAAGGCUUGACAUACACCGGACCGCCCUAGAGAUAGGGUUUCCCUUCGGGGCUGGUGUACAGGUGGUGCAUGGUUAUCGUCAGCUCGUGUCGUGAGAUGUUGGGUUAAGUCCCGCAACGAGCGCAACCCUUGUCCUAUGUUGCCAGCACGUAAUGGUGGGGACUCAUGGGAGACUGCCGGGGUCAACUCGGAGGAAGGUGGGGAUGACGUCAAAUCAUCAUGCCCCUUAUGUCUUGGGCUUCACGCAUGCUACAAUGGCCGGUACAGUGGGUUGCGAUACUGUGAAGUGGAGCUAAUCCCUAAAAGCCGGUCUCAGUUCGGAUCGAAGUCUGCAA
This 734-nucleotide ribosomal RNA is filed under the name uncultured bacterium. RNAcentral's name for it is "bacterial SSU rRNA". It matches the Rfam family "Bacterial small subunit ribosomal RNA", at positions 575 to 1310 of the family's 1533-position model. The record is from RNAcentral.